RNAcentral lists this ribosomal RNA (253 nucleotides) under uncultured prokaryote. Its description in RNAcentral is "partial 16S ribosomal RNA". It matches the Rfam family "Bacterial small subunit ribosomal RNA", at positions 525 to 777 of the family's 1533-position model. The record is from RNAcentral.
ACGUAGGGGGCAAGCGUUGUCCGGAUUCAUUGGGCGUAAAGAGCGUGUAGGCGGCCAGGUAGGUCGGUUGUGAAAACUGGAGGCUCAACCUUCAGAGGUCGACCGAAACCAUCUGGCUAGAGUCCGGGAGAGGAGAGUGGAAUUCCUGGUGUAGCGGUGAAAUGCGCAGAUAUCAGGAAGAACACCCGUGGCGAAAGCGGCUCUCUGGAACGGUACUGACGCUGAGACGCGAAAGCGUGGGGAGCGAACAGGA